Molecule: ribosomal RNA, 205 nt
Filed under: uncultured bacterium
Lineage: Bacteria
Description: partial 16S ribosomal RNA
Rfam family: Bacterial small subunit ribosomal RNA
Source: RNAcentral
CGCGUAGGCGGACAGUUUAGUCAGGGGUGAAAGCCCAGGGCUCAACCUUGGAAUUGCCUUUGAUACUGGCUGUCUUGAGUUCGGGAGAGGUGAGUGGAAUGCCGAGUGUAGAGGUGAAAUUCGUAGAUAUUCGGCGGAACACCAGUGGCGAAGGCGACUCACUGGCCCGAUACUGCGCUGAGGCGCGAAAGCGUGGGAGCAAACA